This 75-nucleotide transfer RNA is filed under the name Hyunsoonleella pacifica. RNAcentral describes it as "tRNA-Cys". It matches the Rfam family "tRNA". Rfam says of the family: Transfer RNA (tRNA) molecules are approximately 80 nucleotides in length. Their secondary structure includes four short double-helical elements and three loops (D, anti-codon, and T loops). Lineage: Bacteria; Pseudomonadati; Bacteroidota; Flavobacteriia; Flavobacteriales; Flavobacteriaceae. The record is from RNAcentral.
GGCGUCGUGGCCGAGUGGCUUAGGCACAGGUCUGCAAAACCUGCUACAGCGGUUCGAUUCCGCUCGACGCCUCUA